CUGGCGGCGGCCUAACACAUGCAAGUCGAGCGGUAGAGAGAAGCUUGCUUCUCUUGAGAGCGGCGGACGGGUGAGUAAUACCUGGGAAUCUGCCUGAUAGUGGGGGAUAACGUUCGGAAACGGACGCUAAUACCGCAUACGUCCUACGGGAGAAAGCAGGGGAUCUUCGGACCUUGCGCUAUCAGAUGAGCCCAGGUCGGAUUAGCUUGUUGGUGAGGUAACGGCUCACCAAGGCGACGAUCCGUAACUGGUCUGAGAGGAUGAUCAGUCACACUGGAACUGAGACACGGUCCAGACUCCUACGGGAGGCAGCAGUGGGGAAUAUUGGACAAUGGGCGAAAGCCUGAUCCAGCCAUGCCGCGUGUGUGAAGAAGGUCUUCGGAUUGUAAAGCACUUUAAGUUGGGAGGAAGGGUUGUAGUUUAAUACGCUGCAAUCUUGACGUUACCGACAGAAUAAGCACCGGCUAACUCUGUGCCAGCAGCCGCGGUAAUACGGAGGGUGCGAGCGUUAAUCGGAAUUACUGGGCGUAAAGCGCACGUAGGCGGCUUGUUAAGCAAGAUGUGAAAGCCCAGGGCUCAACCUUGGAAUAGCAUUUUGAACUGUCAGGCUAGAGUUUUGAAGAGGGUGGUAGAAUUUCCAGUGUAGCGGUGAAAUGCGUAGAUAUUGGAAGGAAUACCAGUGGCGAAGGCGGCCACCUGGUCAAAAACUGACGCUGAGGAGCGAAAGCGUGGGGAGCAAACAGGAUUAGAUACCCUGGUAGUCCACGCUGUAAACGAUGUCAACUAGUUGUUCGUUUCAUAAAUGA
This 806-nucleotide ribosomal RNA is filed under the name uncultured bacterium. RNAcentral's name for it is "bacterial SSU rRNA". It matches the Rfam family "Bacterial small subunit ribosomal RNA", at positions 36 to 838 of the family's 1533-position model. The record is from RNAcentral.